This 405-nucleotide long non-coding RNA is filed under the name Homo sapiens (human). RNAcentral's name for it is "non-protein coding lnc-LGALS9C-3:1". Lineage: Eukaryota; Metazoa; Chordata; Mammalia; Primates; Hominidae. The record is from RNAcentral.
CAUGCAGAACCUCAAUGACCGCCUGGCCUCCUACCUGGACAAGGCGCGUGCCCUGGAGGAGGCCAACGCUGACCUGGAGGUGAAGAUCCAUGACUGGUACCAGUGGCAGCGGCCUGCUGAGAUCAAAGACUACAGUCCCUACUUCAAGACCAUCGAGGAUCUGAGGAACAAGAACAUAAUGGGAUGGUGAGUGCAGACGACACACACGGCCUCAGUCUAUGGGAACAUCUCAAAGGAGUUCGUCUGCAAAUUCUAGUGCAUCUAGGCAGAACACAGGAAGGAAGAGAGGUGCAGACUUACGUAUGGCCCUGGGGCACCUGCCAUCCCCUCGAGCCUGUAUGGUCCUUACCCGCCCAUCCCCAGCUUGAGUUCUGGGCCUUCUCGCCAGCACAUCGUUGGGACCUG